RNAcentral lists this ribosomal RNA (478 nucleotides) under uncultured bacterium. RNAcentral describes it as "partial 16S ribosomal RNA". It matches the Rfam family "Bacterial small subunit ribosomal RNA", at positions 29 to 507 of the family's 1533-position model. The record is from RNAcentral.
AUGAACGCUAGCGGGAGGCCUCACACAUGCAAGCCGAGCGGUAUUGUUUCUUCGGAAAUGAGAGAGCGGCGUACGGGUGCGUAACACGUGUGCAACCUGCCUUUAUCUGGGGGAUAGCCUUUCGAAAGGAAGAUUAAUACUCCAUAAUAUAUUGAACGGCAUCGUUUAAUAUUGAAAGCUCCGGCGGAUAGAGAUGGGCACGCGCAAGAUUAGCUAGUUGGUGAGGUAACGGCUCACCAAGGCGAUGAUCUUUAGGGGGCCUGAGAGGGUGAUCCCCCACACUGGUACUGAGACACGGACCAGACUCCUACGGGAGGCAGCAGUGAGGAAUAUUGGUCAAUGGGUGCAAGCCUGAACCAGCCAUCCCGCGUGAAGGACGACUGCCCUAUGGGUUGUAAACUUCUUUUGUAUAGGGAUAAACCUACCCUCGAGAGGGUAGCUGAAGGUACUAUACGAAUAAGCACCAGCUAACUCCGUG